ACUUGGUGUGGUUGUUGCUGGCCCUCUUGGGGGCAUGUGCACGCCCGCCAUCCUCAUCUCUCCACCUGUGCACCUCUUGUAGACCUGGAUAGACUUUUCGAGGCAACUCGGUUGGGAAGAUUGCUGCGCUCUCUGAGCCAGCUUUCUUUGCAUGUCCAGGCCUAUGUUUUUCAUAUACCCUAUAGAAUGUAACAGAAUGUAUCAUUGGGCCUUGUGCCUAUAAACCUUAUACAACUUUCAGCAACGGAUCUCUUGGCUCUCGCAUCGAUGAAGAACGCAGCGAAAUGCGAUAAGUAAUGUGAAUUGCAGAAUUCAGUGAAUCAUCGAAUCUUUGAACGCACCUUGCGCUCCUUGGUAUUCCGAGGAGCAUGCCUGUUUGAGUGUCAUUAAAUUCUCAACCUUAUUAGCUUUUGUUGAUAAUGGAUUGGAUUUGGGGGUUUCUUUUGCUGGCUUCUUCACAGAGAUCAGCUCCCCUUAAAUGCAUUAGCUGGUGCCCCGCGUGGACCAUCUAUUGGUGUGAUAAUUAUCUACGCCGUGGAUGUCUGCAAUCAUAUGGGUUUUGCACUGCUUCUAACCGUCUGUUCAUUCGGACAAUACAUGACAAUUUGACCUCAAAUCAGGUAGGACUACCCGCUGAACUUAAGCAUAUCAAUAAGCGGAGGAAAAGAAACUAACAAGGAUUCCCCUAGUAACUGCGAGUGAAGCGGGAAAAGCUCAAUUUAAAAUCUGGCGGUCUCCGGUCGUCCGAGUUGUAAUCUAGAGAAGUGUUAUCCGCGCUGGACCGUGUACAA
Molecule: ribosomal RNA, 791 nt
Filed under: Alnicola sphagneti
Lineage: Eukaryota; Fungi; Basidiomycota; Agaricomycetes; Agaricales; Hymenogastraceae
Description: eukaryotic LSU rRNA
Rfam family: 5.8S ribosomal RNA (bases 233-386)
Source: RNAcentral